RNAcentral lists this ribosomal RNA (169 nucleotides) under Cladosporium sphaerospermum. Its description in RNAcentral is "5.8S ribosomal RNA". It matches the Rfam family "5.8S ribosomal RNA". Rfam says of the family: 5.8S ribosomal RNA (5.8S rRNA) is a component of the large subunit of the eukaryotic ribosome. It is transcribed by RNA polymerase I as part of the 45S precursor that also contains 18S and 28S rRNA. Lineage: Eukaryota; Fungi; Ascomycota; Dothideomycetes; Cladosporiales; Cladosporiaceae. The record is from RNAcentral.
AUUAAUAAAUUAAAACUUUCAACAACGGAUCUCUUGGUUCUGGCAUCGAUGAAGAACGCAGCGAAAUGCGAUAAGUAAUGUGAAUUGCAGAAUUCAGUGAAUCAUCGAAUCUUUGAACGCACAUUGCGCCCCCUGGUAUUCCGGGGGGCAUGCCUGUUCGAGCGUCAUU